This 900-nucleotide ribosomal RNA is filed under the name uncultured Lactobacillus sp. RNAcentral's name for it is "bacterial SSU rRNA". It matches the Rfam family "Bacterial small subunit ribosomal RNA", at positions 9 to 865 of the family's 1533-position model. Lineage: Bacteria; Bacillati; Bacillota; Bacilli; Lactobacillales; Lactobacillaceae. The record is from RNAcentral.
GAGUUUGAUCCUGGCUCAGGACGAACGCUGGCGGCGUGCCUAAUACAUGCAAGUCGAACGCGUCUCCGUUGAUGAUUUUAGGUGCUUGCACCUGAAAGAUUUAACAUUGAGACGAGUGGCGAACUGGUGAGUAACACGUGGGUAACCUGCCCUUGAAGUAGGGGAUAACACUUGGAAACAGGUGCUAAUACCGUAUAACAACCAAAACCACCUGGUUUUGGUUUAAAAGACGGCUUCGGCUGUCACUUUAGGAUGGACCCGCGGCGUAUUAGCUUGUUGGUAAGGUAACGGCCUACCAAGGCGAUGAUACGUAGCCGACCUGAGAGGGUAAUCGGCCACAUUGGGACUGAGACACGGCCCAAACUCCUACGGGAGGCAGCAGUAGGGAAUCUUCCACAAUGGACGAAAGUCUGAUGGAGCAACGCCGCGUGAGUGAUGAAGGGUUUCGGCUCGUAAAACUCUGUUGUUGGAGAAGAACAGGUGUCAGAGUAACUGUUGACAUCUUGACGGUAUCCAACCAGAAAGCCACGGCUAACUACGUGCCAGCAGCCGCGGUAAUACGUAGGUGGCAAGAGUUGUCCGGAUUUAUUGGGCGUAAAGCGAGCGCAGGCGGUUUUUUAGGUCUGAUGUGAAAGCCUUCGGCUUAACCGGAGAAGUGCAUCGGAAACCGGGAGACUUGAGUGCAGAAGAGGACAGUGGAACUCCAUGUGUAGCGGUGAAAUGCGUAGAUAUAUGGAAGAACACCAGUGGCGAAGGCGGCUGUCUGGUCUGUAACUGACGCUGAGCUCGAAAGCAUGGGUAGCGAACAGGAUUAGAUACCCUGGUAGUCCAUGCCGUAAACGAUGAGUGCUAAGUGUUGGAGGGUUUCCGCCCUUCAUUGCUGCAGCUAACGCAUUAAGC